AGUUGUAUCCUGGCUCANANCGAACGCUGGCGGCAGGCCUAAUACAUGCAAGUCGAGCGCGCCCUUCGGGGUGAGCGGCGGACGGGUGAGUAACGCGUGGGAAUAUGCCCUUCUCUAAGGAAUAGCCUCUGGAAACGGAGAGUAAUACCUUAUACGCCCUUUGGGGGAAAGAUUUAUCGGAGAAGGAUUAGCCCGCGUUAGAUUAGGUAGUUGGUGGGGUAAUGGCCUACCAAGCCUACGAUCUAUAGCUGGUUUGAGAGGAUGAUCAGCCACACUGGGACUGAGACACGGCCCAGACUCCUACGGGAGGCAGCAGUAGGGAAUCUUANACAAUGGGGGCAACCCUGAUCUAGCCAUGCCGCGUGUGUGAUGAAGGCCUUAGGGUCGUAAAGCACUUUCGCCAGAGAUGAUAAUGACAGUAUCUGGUAAAGAAACCCCGGCUAACUCCGUGCCAGCAGCCGCGGUAAUACGGAGGGGGUUAGCGUUGUUCNGAAUUACUGGGCNUAAAGCGCACGUAUGCGGAUUAGUAAGUUAGAGGUGAAAUCCCAGGGCUCAACCCUGGANCUGCCUUUAAUACUGCUAGUCUUGAGUUC
RNAcentral lists this ribosomal RNA (593 nucleotides) under uncultured Alphaproteobacteria bacterium. RNAcentral's name for it is "bacterial SSU rRNA". It matches the Rfam family "Bacterial small subunit ribosomal RNA", at positions 10 to 649 of the family's 1533-position model. The record is from RNAcentral. Lineage: Bacteria; Pseudomonadati; Pseudomonadota; Alphaproteobacteria.